UAAAAAUAUGUUAAAGAUGGUCUC
RNAcentral lists this non-coding RNA (24 nucleotides) under Arabidopsis thaliana (thale cress). The record is from RNAcentral. Lineage: Eukaryota; Viridiplantae; Streptophyta; Magnoliopsida; Brassicales; Brassicaceae.